This 101-nucleotide microRNA precursor is filed under the name Marmota monax (woodchuck). Lineage: Eukaryota; Metazoa; Chordata; Mammalia; Rodentia; Sciuridae. The record is from RNAcentral.
AGUAGAAUUACUGGAUCACAGGAUCAGUGUGCUUAACUUUUUGAGAAACUGCCAGAAGUUUCCCCAGAGUGGUGGCACCAUUUACAUUCCCCACCAGCAAU